Molecule: small nuclear RNA, 98 nt
Organism: Colobus angolensis palliatus
Lineage: Eukaryota; Metazoa; Chordata; Mammalia; Primates; Cercopithecidae
Source: Ensembl
CUUUGUUAGCAAAAAUAUUAAAUACUCAAACAAUAAAGAUUAGCAUGGCCUCUGCACCCAAGAACAACAUGUAAAUUCUUGAAGUGUUUCAUUUUUUU